This is a non-coding RNA of Cinara cedri, 202 nucleotides long. The record is from the annotation of a GenBank genome assembly. Lineage: Eukaryota; Metazoa; Arthropoda; Insecta; Hemiptera; Aphididae.
GGUAAAUAAUUUUUCAUAACACUCGAUAAUUCGCAGCAUUUUAUAGGCGUAGAAGUAAUAAUAUGAUGCGAUGAUUUAGAAACAAACCCGGAAUUCUUCGAAAACAAAAAUAACUCGCGUCUAUUUUAGGAUUUAAUGCGUAUAAAAAGGAAUUCUUUUCAUAUUAUAUUAUUUUUUAAUCGAUGGAGGAUUUUGUAUUUAU